RNAcentral lists this ribosomal RNA (487 nucleotides) under uncultured bacterium. RNAcentral describes it as "partial 16S ribosomal RNA". It matches the Rfam family "Bacterial small subunit ribosomal RNA", at positions 28 to 507 of the family's 1533-position model. The record is from RNAcentral.
GACGAACGCUGGCGGCGUGCUUAACACAUGCAAGUCGAACGGGCUCUGUCUGGCUGUGUGCUGGGUGGGGUUAGUGGCGAACGGGUGAGUAAUACGUGAGUAACCUGCCCUCUUCUUUGGGAUAAGCCUUGGAAACGGGGUCUAAUACUGGAUAUUCCUGUCUGGUCGCAUGGCUGGGUGGGGAAAGUUUUUUUCGGUGGGGGAUGGGCUCGCGGCCUAUCAGCUUGUUGGUGGGGUGAUGGCCUACCAAGGCGUCGACGGGUAGCCGGCCUGAGAGGGUGACCGGCCACACUGGGACUGAGAUACGGCCCAGACUCCGACGGGAGGCAGCAGUGGGGGAUAUUGCACAAUGGGCGCAAGCCUGAUGCAGCGACGCCGCGUGGGGGAUGACGGCUUUCGGGUUGUAAACCUCUCUCGUCGGGGGACAAGGCUCUGCUUGGUGGUGGGGUUGAGGGUACCCGGUGAAGAAGCGCCGGCUAACUACGUG